UCUCAGCCAAUCAGAUUGUGGGGUGCGACACCAGGAGCAUGGGCGAGGAUAUGAAGCCAGAGAGCUGGGUGGGGAAUGGAGGGGCAGCAGCUCAGGAGCCCAUUGGCGUGGCAUUGGGACGGGGUGCUUGGGAGAGACCCCACUGGCCACAAUCCCGUAAGUGGGAACUGGAUGAACAUGAGUGAAUGUCACCACAUGCCUGAGGGAUCCCAGCAGGCCAGGGCCAAGGACUGAAGUGAGAUCCCUCCAGCUGGUCCCUCCAGGGCCUGGUGAGGGGAUAUAAGGGGGAUCAUGAUACAGGGACCUCACAACCCGUUCUAAACAAUAGAGGCAAUGUCUUGACUGACAGGUCUGGGAGGAACUGUCCGGGCUCCCCUCGGAGAGACGCUCGCCACGGUCACACAAUCUGCACGGGGCCAGGAGGCAACCAGCCCUGCGAACCAGCUGCCCAGCUCCCCCAGAGGGGCCUGAUCCCAGCCCAGCGCUCGCCCGGAGCCCAGAUGGAGCCAGCCGCUUCUCCCUCUACUGAGGCACCGCAGCCCACAGGGCAUCUUCAUGGCAGCGAUGGGCCUGGCACAGCCCCAGAUUCAGCCAGCCGGAGCCGGGGGGCAGCUCCUCCUGCCCCACAAGGACCCCUUGCUGCAGCUGUCAUGAGCCUCUGCCGCUACCUCUGCCUUCGCUUGGAGCUCUCGCCAGGGAGGGGCUGCUGCUGGCUCUGCUCUGAGCUCUGCCUGAGGAUGGGGGAGCCGCGCUCGGCCCCUGGAGGGGUCAGGAACCGAAGAUUUCAACCACGCUCCGUGCCUUGCUGUGAACGUCACAUUGCAGCUGCCACUGGGAGAUGCUGUCAGGGCCAAUCCCCCGCUCCCCACAGAGCCCCAGGAUGACCCUGAGAGCAGCGAUGUGGAGGAGAUGGAAGUGGAGGAGAUGGGAGAACAAGAGGACGAGGAGAUGGACGUGGAUUAGAACAUCGCUCUGAAUCUGAUCUGUCUAGUGCUGGAUGUGCAGAUGGACCAUAGGAUGUGCCCAUGUGGGAGGGGCAUUGUUUACAGACCUAGAUAUCUCAGGGAUUUUUUUAAUGUAUUUUAUUAUGUUCUCCUUUGCACUUACAAGACUUUAAGCAGAUUAAUGAAUGUUCUGUUUCCAGUGGUGUCACCGUGCCGACAGCUCUGGGAUUCAGACACGGUACGGGUGGAGUAGGGUAACAUGCAUCAAAUCUCUUCAAUCCAGACAGCGUGAGCAGAGAGCAGACGAACGAUCGACAGGCUCUGUGUUGACCUGGUGUGAGUCAGAGCAGCCUUGAGGCUGCUGUAACAUUCUGCUCCCCAGCGGCCCAGGAGCAGAGCACGUGCCGAGCCUUCACACCAGCCAGGGAGACGCCUUGUGCAGGGGAAUUUUCCAGGGCUGUCUACACCCAUUUUAAAUCCCCUUUGCCUCCCAGAGUUACCUAAUGGGGCAGAAUGGGACUGACUUCAGGCAGCAGUUUGGUCUCAAAGCCAGUGAGAACCAGCAGCUGCCCAGGCCUGGCUGUGUCUGACACCCGUAACUAGGGUGACCAGAUCACCCAAGUCAAAUAUCGGGACACGGGGGAGGGCAAAAAAACAAAACCAUCCCUCCCCCUCCUCCACAAGCGCUGGAGGGAGGCCCCGGAGACGCAGG
This is a non-coding RNA of Chrysemys picta bellii (western painted turtle), 1656 nucleotides long. Lineage: Eukaryota; Metazoa; Chordata; Testudines; Emydidae. The record is from RefSeq and is a predicted model, not a curated record.